Molecule: ribosomal RNA, 1743 nt
Filed under: Staphylococcus pseudintermedius
Lineage: Bacteria; Bacillati; Bacillota; Bacilli; Caryophanales; Staphylococcaceae
Description: partial 23S ribosomal RNA
Rfam family: Bacterial large subunit ribosomal RNA
Source: RNAcentral
GUAGAGCACUGUUUGGACGAGGGGCCCCUCUCGGGUUACCGAAUUCAGACAAACUCCGAAUGCCAAAUAAUUUAACUUGGGAGUCAGAAUGUGGGUGAUAAGGUCCAUAUUCGAAAGGGAAACAGCCCAGACCACCAGCUAAGGUCCCAAAAUAUAUGUUAAGUGGAAAAGGAUGUGGCGUUGCCCAGACAACUAGGAUGUUGGCUUAGAAGCAGCCAUCAUUUAAAGAGUGCGUAAUAGCUCACUAGUCGAGUGACACUGCGCCGAAAAUGUACCGGGGCUAAACAUAUUACCGAAGCUGUGGAUUGUCCUUUGGACAAUGGUAGGAGAGCGUUCUAAGGGCGUUGAAGCAUGAUCGCAAGGACAUGUGGAGCGCUUAGAAGUGAGAAUGCCGGUGUGAGUAGCGAAAGACGGGUGAGAAUCCCGUCCACCGAUUGACUAAGGUUUCCAGAGGAAGGCUCGUCCGCUCUGGGUUAGUCGGGUCCUAAGCUGAGGCCGACAGGCGUAGGCGAUGGAUAACAGGUUGAUAUUCCUGUACCACCAUUAUUCGUUUUAAGCGAUGGGGGGACGCAGUAGGAUAGGCGAAGCGUGCUGUUGGAGUGCACGUCCAAGCAGUGAGAUUGAGUGUUAGGCAAAUCCGGCACUCUUAAGAUUGAGCUGUGAUGGGGAGAGGAACUUGUUCCUCGAGUCGUUGAUUUCACACUGCCGAGAAAAGCCUCUAGCUAGAAUAACGGUGCCCGUACCGCAAACCGACACAGGUAGUCAAGAUGAGAAUUCUAAGGUGAGCGAGCGAACUCUCGUUAAGGAACUCGGCAAAAUGACCCCGUAACUUCGGGAGAAGGGGUGCUCUUUGAGGUUCACGCUUCGAAGAGCCGCAGUGAAUAGGCCCAAGCGACUGUUUAUCAAAAACACAGGUCUCUGCUAAACCGUAAGGUGACGUAUAGGGGCUGACGCCUGCCCGGUGCUGGAAGGUUAAGAGGAGUGGUUAGCGCAAGCGAAGCUACGAAUCGAAGCCCCAGUAAACGGCGGCCGUAACUAUAACGGUCCUAAGGUAGCGAAAUUCCUUGUCGGGUAAGUUCCGACCCGCACGAAAGGCGUAACGAUUUGGGCACUGUCUCAACGAGAGACUCGGUGAAAUCAUAGUACCGGUGAAGAUGCCGGUUACCCGCGACAGGACGGAAAGACCCCGUGGAGCUUUACUGUAGCCUGAUAUUGAAAUUCGGUACAGUUUGUACAGGAUAGGUAGGAGCCUUAGAAGCGUGAGCGCUAGCUUACGUGGAGGCAUUGGUGGGAUACUACCCUAAUUGUAUUGGAUUUCUAACCCGCAGCACUUAUCGUGCUGGGAGACAGUGUCAGGCGGGCAGUUUGACUGGGGCGGUCGCCUCCUAAAGAGUAACGGAGGCGCUCAAAGGUUCCCUCAGAAUGGUUGGAAAUCAUUCAUAGAGUGUAAAGGCAUAAGGGAGCUUGACUGCGAGACCUACAAGUCGAGCAGGGUCGAAAGACGGACUUAGUGAUCCGGUGGUUCCGCAUGGAAGGGCCAUCGCUCAACGGAUAAAAGCUACCCCGGGGAUAACAGGCUUAUCUCCCCCAAGAGUUCACAUCGACGGGGAGGUUUGGCACCUCGAUGUCGGCUCAUCGCAUCCUGGGGCUGUAGUCGGUCCCAAGGGUUGGGCUGUUCGCCCAUUAAAGCGGUACGCGAGCUGGGUUCAGAACGUCGUGAGACAGUUCGGUCCCUAUCCGUCG